Non-coding RNA from Phrynosoma platyrhinos (Desert horned lizard), 72 nucleotides. NCBI's taxonomy places the organism in Eukaryota, Metazoa, Chordata, Lepidosauria, Squamata, Phrynosomatidae. The record is from the annotation of a GenBank genome assembly.
GCCAGUCUGGCUUGGUGGUUUGAGCAUUGGACUAUGACUUUUGAGAUCAGGGUUCGAUUCCCUGCUCAGCCA